CCGGCUAGCAAAGCCUGUGUACUGGUGUACAGUGUAGAGGCUGUGGGGAAAACUCUCUUAUUUUCCUUUCUGUCGUUUUUCCCCUUAUUCCACCCUUGCCCCUUGUUUUGUUACUUCUUUCAUUGACAGCAGUCAAACCGUUAUGACAAUCCACACAGGCACUAAUUUACAUUUACAUUUAUGGCAUUUGGCAGACGCCCUUAUCCAGAGCACAACAAACUCCAGGCUAAACUACAAUAUUCUAGACUAGCACAACAAACUCCAGGCUAAACUACAAUAUUCUAGACUAGCACAACAAACUCCAGGCCAAACUACAAUAUUCUAGACUAGCACAACAAACUCCAGGCUAAACUACAAUAUUCUAGACUAGCACAACAAACUCCAGGCCAAACUACAAUAUUCUAGCCUAGCACAACAAACUCCAGGCCAAACUACAAUAUUCUAGCCUAGCACAACACACUCCAGGCUAAUUUACAACAUUCCAGGCUAGCAGAACACACUCCAGACUAAUUUACAACAUUCCAGGCUAGCACAACACACUCCAGGCUAAACUACAACAUUCCAGGCUAGCACAACACACUCCAGGCUAAUUUAAAAAACAUUCCAGGCUAGCACAACACACUCCAGGCUAAUUUACAACAUUCCAGGCUAGCACAACACAUUCCAGGCUAGCAGAACACACUCCAGGCUAAACUACAACAUUCCAGGCUAGCACAACACACUCCAGGCUAAACUACAACAUUCCAGGCUAGCAGAACACACUCCAGGCUAAUUUAAAAAACAUUCCAGGCUAGCAGAACACACUCCAGGCUAAUUUACAACAUUCCAGGCUAGCACAACACACUCCAGGCUAAACUACAACAUUCCAGGCUAGCACAACGCACUCCAGGCUAAACUACAACAUUCCAGGCUAGCACAACACACUCCAGGCUAAACUACAACAUUCCAGGCUAGCACAACGCACUCUCACAGCUAACACACGAGACCAAAAAAUAUCCCACUGUGCAAGCGCACAUAAAACCCUCCAAAAUACACUAAAGCAGUCCAAGUUUAUAUAAAGACUUCCAGCUAACCUACAACAAUCUUAAACCUGAAUCUAAACAAAACUAAAAGUGAAACCCCACACACACACACACACUUCACCACAAUCCUUAAUCCUCCGAACGGCAUUUCACUGCACAUGCACGUACGGUUUACAUUUAGAACACACCGACAUCAGAAAGGCUUUCUUUUCACUGACGUACUCAGAUCGUGUGUCUACACGUCGUAGAAUAACCAGCUCUAUUACUCCAGCCGCUGAAGUGUUUGUGGAGCGGUUUU
Ictalurus punctatus (channel catfish) is the source of this 1320-nucleotide long non-coding RNA. Lineage: Eukaryota; Metazoa; Chordata; Actinopteri; Siluriformes; Ictaluridae. The record is from Ensembl.